Molecule: ribosomal RNA, 861 nt
Filed under: Triticum aestivum (bread wheat)
Lineage: Eukaryota; Viridiplantae; Streptophyta; Magnoliopsida; Poales; Poaceae
Description: partial small subunit ribosomal RNA
Source: RNAcentral
AUGCUGCAACACCUGGAUCUCGAAGAUGACGAGCUUGAUGAUGUGGUCGUAGGGGAGGAAGAGGUGAAGAAGUAUGAAGCGGACGCUAGGUGGCUGGCGAUUGCGAAGGUGAACACGACCCGCACUUUCAGUUCGUCGUCGAUGUUCGAGUGCAUGAAGUCAAUCUGGUCACUUGCACACGUCCCCAAGUAUAGGGAGGCGGGCAAAAACUUAUUUAUCUUCCAGAUGUUCUGUCUUGGCGAUUGGAAGAAGGUGGUGCACAGUGGUCCAUGGCUGUUCAGGGGGAUGGGGAUGCUGAUUGAGGACUAUGAUGGCAAGAAGGAACCUACAUCCUUUGAAUUCGAUGGAUUAUAUGUGUGGGCUCAGAUCCAUAAUAUACCGAAACUAUAUCGCAAAACAGAGGUCGUUGAUCAACUAGCCCGUCGCAUCGGGCGGGUGAAAGAAAUCCAGCUAGCUCCUUGGCUGUUCUAUGAGGGAGAUUAUGUUAGGGUUCGGGCAAAGGUUCUUGUCAACAAACCCUUGACACGGGUCACACCUCUGAACAUUGUGGGUGAGGGCAGAUUGCGGCUUCCGUUCAAAUAUGAGAAGAUCCCUUAUUUCUGUAAGGUUUGUGGACUCAUGGGUCAUAACCACGAGGAGUGUGGUGAUGGUGUCUGGGAGGAGAAACACAAGCAGUGGGGCAGUUGGAUGCUGGCACAAAGAAGGGAAAUCGCACCAGAGCAGCAAGGCGGCUGGGCUACUCGCGGAGGCCGAUCUGGCGGGAGGGGUCGAGGCCGGUCUGGCCGGGGCGCCCAAGCUCCCCAACAGCGCUCGCCGCUGCAUAAGCGGUCAUCUCAAGAAGCGGGUUUUGACAAUACAUAG